RNAcentral lists this RNase P RNA (428 nucleotides) under Halobacterium hubeiense. Its description in RNAcentral is "RNase P RNA component". It matches the Rfam family "Archaeal RNase P". From Rfam's summary of the family: Ribonuclease P (RNase P) is a ubiquitous endoribonuclease, found in archaea, bacteria and eukarya as well as chloroplasts and mitochondria. The record is from RNAcentral. RNAcentral also lists the same sequence under 1 other name. Lineage: Archaea; Methanobacteriati; Methanobacteriota; Halobacteria; Halobacteriales; Halobacteriaceae.
GGCAGAGGGAGCCCGGCUCCCGUGCCGCGAGGCAUGAGGAAAGUCCCCCCACCCGUCGGGCAGGCGGCCGGAUGCAAAUCCGGGACGGGAGACCGUCGGCACUGGAACAGAGACGACACGUCCCUCUCGAACCGAUGAGGCGCGCGACCCGACCCGCGAGGGGAGGAAGCUAACCCGCCGAGGGAGGCGUGGCCGACCAACGGGAGGCCACGUUACAGGUGAGCGGCGUCAGCCGCGAACCGCGCGGCUCUGCCGCGUUAAAGCGAACGGCGUCAGCCGUUCGCCGGAAGAGAGGGGAGCGAUGGAACGGCUAAUCCCCGCCGGUGCAAGUCCACGCGCGCAAGGUAGCCCGACGCGCCCGAGAGGGGCCGCGUGGACGCUCAGCCGAAUGCCGGGCCGAACAGAAGGGGGCUUACUCCCCUCCAGCU